UGUAUUCUUAAAAUUUAGUGCUGGUAAGGAUAAAAGAAAAUUUUGGAUGAUUCUGGAUGUUCCGUGUAAUAUACCGAAAAUUCGAAAAAUGAAUAUCGAGCUUUAGUCAAAUUGACCAAAGUGCGAGGAUGGUACACUUCGGAAAGUCCGAAGGUUUUAAAAUGACCAAAAGUUAAGGUUUUCGAGAGCUAAGGAAUCAAAAAUCUGCAAACUGCAGUUUUUG
This 223-nucleotide long non-coding RNA is filed under the name Ananas comosus (pineapple). Its description in RNAcentral is "long non-coding RNA (ACOM_LNC040410)". Lineage: Eukaryota; Viridiplantae; Streptophyta; Magnoliopsida; Poales; Bromeliaceae. The record is from RNAcentral.